UCCGGCUCACCGUGACCCCGUAUGGGACAAGCGGUUCAGAAAAUGUGUGUGUGAUGGGUCUCAUUUGUGCCUAUCUGAGGCAAAGCUGAUGGACACAAUGUAUUUGAUCUGUAUCUUUGUUAUAUAAAGCUUUUUGUAGUCUUUUGCAAUUUUAUUUUCAACUCAAAGCGGGGUGCGGUGGCGCAGCGGGUUUGGCCUGUGCCUGCUCUCUGGUGGGUCUGGGGUUUGAGUCCCACUUGGGCUGUCUUGUGAUGGACUGGCGUCCCCUCCUGGGUGUGUCCCCUCCCCCUCCAGCCCUCUGCUCUGUGUUGCCGGGUUAUGCUCUGGCUUGCUGCAACCCUGCUUGGGGCAAGAGCUUUCAGUGUGUGUGUGUGUGUGUGUGAGUGAUUUUUAACUCAUAUACACAGUUUGUCAUUAAUACUGCAGCAAGCUGGUCUUAUAGAUGGUGGACUUUGUCAGCUGGGACCAGUUUUCUUGAGGUAAUCUCUGGUACAGAUCAGUGUAAGGUUUGUAUAAAGGGAAACAUCUUUUGGUGUCAAUAUGGUUUUUCAUGUUUCCAACUGCAUCUUAUGCAGAAAUUGAUGUUUUAUUUGAUCCAGCUGAUACUGUGUUGCUGCACUUCUACUACUGUGCUAUUUACUCAUGAGGUAUUAUUGUCUCCCCAGUGCUGGCGUUGCCCAUCUUAGGGAUGAAAUCAACAGCAAUAAACGGAGUUGCUGGAGAAUCAGUUGUGCUUCACACAGGACUGGGAGAUAAAAGCCAUUCAAUCCUGAUGCACUGGAUGAAGGAUAAAAAUAUUAUCAUUCAAAUAAAAAAUAAUAAGACACAAGUAAAAAUGUCACAAUAUAAAGGAAGAAUUUCAGUGGAUGAGAAAACUUGGUCUUUAACCAUUUACCCUGCAAGAGCAACUGAUGGUGGAGAGUAUGUUUUUCAAAAGUUGAAUUCAGCCCCAACAAUGUCAACAAUACUUCAUGUUUACGUGCUACAAGAUGUAGACACUGUGUAUGCUGAAAUAGAAGAGCUGAACUAUGAAGACCAUCAGAAGAACAUUAUGUGUAGCAAGUCAGCUACCGGCAACACUACCACCUGUUAUGAUACUUUGCAAAGUACAGCUGUUAUCCCUACUGGUCCUUUCACUCUUUAUGACACAGUGAACUUCACUCGUCCCAUUACCACCAAAAAUGUAUGAGAAAAUUCUCUGAGGUUCCAAGAUCCUCUUCGCUACUGAAAGUGUCAACAAUGCAUCUAAGUAACAUACUUUGUCUUUUUCAUAUAUAUACAUAUGAGACACAGGCUGCUUAAUGUGUGAAAUUAUGUGUUAGUUAUUAAGUACACAUUAGGCUUCCGUAUGAAGUGAAAAUGUAUGGGGUUGUUAUAUGUGAUAAGAAAACCAUGGUCAACGAUGUAACCAACAGCACAGUAUUUUGUUUUGUGUUAACUUAAUCACCAUUAAAAUUAGUCAUUUGAGCUUGUAUGAUUUUUUUAUGUUUCAGACACUUAAAUUAUGCUUAAUGUUUAGAAGCAUUAAUACAAACAUUUUAAUCUAUAGUCUUUGUGCCUCAAUCAGUAUUAAUGUAAAAAGUCAUUAGUUUCCACACUUAAUUAAAUAGGAGCGACUCACCCA
Long non-coding RNA from Scleropages formosus (Asian bonytongue), 1624 nucleotides. The record is from Ensembl. NCBI's taxonomy places the organism in Eukaryota, Metazoa, Chordata, Actinopteri, Osteoglossiformes, Osteoglossidae.